CCAUUUCAUUUUUAUUAAAAAAAAGAGGGAGGGGCCUCAUUUGUAAAAUGGAGAAAACAGAGGAGGCUAGGGCAAAACCCUAGCGCCGCCCUUCUUUCCGCCACCUAGUCUCCACUGUCUUUGGUGUCAUUUGGAGUGGGGAAGGAGGCAAAGCAUUCAAUGCUUUGUCCUUCUCCCCCUAAAUCUCGGCCAAACACGCCCUAAGAAGCAAAUGAUGGCCAACUAUGUAAGGCUCAGUGGAAGAGUUGCCAGCAAGACAACCAGUCUUCCUCCAAGAAGAGCAUCUCAUAGGGGGGAAGAUGCCUAUGUCAUAACCAGUAAGUGCAUAGGCACUUGGUUCAUUUAUUGUGGUCCAAAUUUAUCACCAAAUUCUUUGAAGCACAACUCUACAUAAUCUCGAAAAUCAUAGCUACAAAAAUAAUGCUACAUUCAUUUAGUAUCUUCCUUUUUUAGAAACUUGAGAAGAAUUGCACCAAAAAAUGUUUUAAAAUGAGUGUUACUUACAUAAUUUGAGGGUUUAGAAAGCCAAGAUACUCAUCUUCAAGGACUUGGGGUAGAUCCCAAUGGAAUAGUGUGACCAUAGGUUGUAUACCUGAAUGAGUUUGUGGGAAAAAUAAUCUAAAUAUAACGUGUUUUCGCCCCUUAGUUGAUUUGAGAAAAGAAAA
This is a long non-coding RNA of Lycium ferocissimum, 665 nucleotides long. RefSeq lists it as uncharacterized. The record is from RefSeq and is a predicted model, not a curated record. Lineage: Eukaryota; Viridiplantae; Streptophyta; Magnoliopsida; Solanales; Solanaceae. The transcript has 2 exons.